AUGCUUCCCUGCCCCCAUCUGCCCUGUGGGCGGCCAAGUCACCUGUCCCUGUCUCCUCUUCUUCUCUCUCUCUCCCUUUCUCCUUUUCUUUCUAGAUCCAACCAAUCCAGAACCAGUCUGGCACACUCGCUCACCCACCCACUCACCCACCCAUCCACCUGCAACCCACCUACCCAUCCAUCCAGACACCCUCCCAUCUACACACCUGUCCACCCCUCCACCCAUCCGUCCACCCCUCCACCUGUCAUGGUGACAGUUGGUCACCAGGCAGUGACAACUCAGGCCCUGGGCACUGUGACACUGAGGCACAGGACACAGAGGCCCCAGAAGGCCCCUAAGCCAGCAACCGUGGAAAGACACAGACAGGAGUUAGUAGGGGCAGGAAGGACUUGGGGGACGGGCGUUCCGGGCAGAGGGAACAGCCUGGGCCAGGCACUGCUGGAGGCCAAUCACAGUGACAGCAACAGCAACCACACUUGCCUUCCCCGCGCGGCCAGCCUCUCCGCACCGCCUCGCCGAGCCCCGGCAGGUACCCAGCCCAUUUCACAGACGGGGAGACAGAGGCCUGGAAGGCCAGAGGAGGAGGAGAUGGGCCUUGCAUGUCAACAGUCGGGCAGAGCCAGGGCCAGGACCCAGGCUGCCCCAGCCCCACCUGCCUGGGGCAAGCAGCCCCGGCUCCAGCGGGGGCCCCGGGAGACUUCCUCCCUGGGCUCCCCGACUGGGCCGGGAGGCCCCGGGAGGCCUGGUGGUGGUGGGGGCGGGGCGUGGGAAGGCUGCAAACUGGUUUGGGGCGGGCAGGCUUUCCUGUCGCUGCCGGUGGCCCCCCGCCUUUGUCCUCUGGUGUCACUGAAGAAUGCGGCAACAGCCUGGAUAAAGGCAGCUUUGUCUGCAGGCUUCGGAGGGGGUGGGGAGGAUGGCGAGGGGCGCCCGGCCAGGAAAGGGUUACUCCCGCCCUCCUGGCUGGCCCCACUUCUGGCUCUGCACAGGAAACACCGAUGCCCUGUGGACACCCACAUCCUCUGCGCUCACCUUCCUGCACUUCCUGACCGGGGCCAGCAGCUCCCCUUUCUCCUGGCCUCGGUCUCCUCAUCCGGGUAA
This 1098-nucleotide long non-coding RNA is filed under the name Oryctolagus cuniculus (rabbit). RNAcentral describes it as "lncRNA (ENSOCUG00000034365.1)". Lineage: Eukaryota; Metazoa; Chordata; Mammalia; Lagomorpha; Leporidae. The record is from RNAcentral.